This 253-nucleotide ribosomal RNA is filed under the name uncultured bacterium. Its description in RNAcentral is "partial 16S ribosomal RNA". It matches the Rfam family "Bacterial small subunit ribosomal RNA", at positions 524 to 776 of the family's 1533-position model. The record is from RNAcentral.
UACGAAGGGGGCUAGCGUUGCUCGGAAUCACUGGGCGUAAAGCGCACGUAGGCGGAUCUUUAAGUCAGGGGUGAAAUCCCAAGGCUCAACCUUGGAACUGCCUUUGAUACUGGGGAUCUCGAGUCCGGAAGAGGUGAGUGGAACUGCGAGUGUAGAGGUGAAAUUCGUAGAUAUUCGCAAGAACACCAGUGGCGAAGGCGGCUCACUGGUCCGGUACCGACGCUGAGGUGCGAAAGCGUGGGGAGCAAACAGG